This 472-nucleotide ribosomal RNA is filed under the name uncultured bacterium. RNAcentral describes it as "bacterial SSU rRNA". It matches the Rfam family "Bacterial small subunit ribosomal RNA", at positions 28 to 498 of the family's 1533-position model. The record is from RNAcentral.
GAUGAACGCUAGCGGCAGGCUUAAUACAUGCAAGUCGAACGGUAACAGGUCUUCGGACGCUGACGAGUGGCGCACGGGUGAGGAACACGUACACAAUCUACCUUAUACUGGAGAAUAGCCCCGGGAAACUGGGAUUAAUACUCCAUAGUCUUUAAUGAUCACAUGAGAAAUAAAGUAAAGCUUCGGCGGUAUAAGAUGAGUGUGCGUCCCAUUAGAUUGUUGGUGAGGUAACGGCUCACCAAGUCGACGAUGGGUAGCUGGCGUGAGAGCGCGACCAGCCACACUGGCACUGAGACACGGGCCAGACUCCUACGGGAGGCAGCAGUAGGGAAUAUUGGUCAAUGGACGAAAGUCUGAACCAGCCAUGCCGCGUGGAGGAUGACUGCCCUCUGGGUUGUAAACUCCUUUUAUAUGGGAAGAAACCUCUGGAUUCACUCCAGAGCUGACGGUAUCAUAUGAAUAAGCACCGGCU